AUUUAUAUAGUUUAAAUAAAACAUUACAUUUUCAUUGUAAAAUUAAAUAUCAAAAAAUUUUAUAAAUA
This 68-nucleotide transfer RNA is filed under the name Stictoleptura succedanea. RNAcentral describes it as "tRNA-Glu". Lineage: Eukaryota; Metazoa; Arthropoda; Insecta; Coleoptera; Cerambycidae. The record is from RNAcentral.